GUAGGGUGCGAGCGUUAAUCGGAAUUACUGGGCGUAAAGUGUGCGCAGGCGGCGUUGCAAGUCGAGUGUGAAAUCCCCGAGCUUAACUUGGGAAUUGCGCUCGAAACUACGAUGCUCGAGUAUGGCAGAGGAAGGUGGAAUUCCACGUGUAGCGGUGAAAUGCGUAGAGAUGUGGAGGAACACCGAUGGCGAAGGCAGCCUUCUGGGCCAAUACUGACGCUCAUGCACGAAAGCGUGGGGAGCAAACAGGAUUAGAUACCCUGGUAGUCCACGCCCUAAACGAUGCGAACUGGACGUUGGGAGCAACUAGGCUCUCAGUGUCGAAGCUAACGCGUUAAGUUCGCCGCCUGGGGAGUACGGUCGCAAGACUG
Molecule: ribosomal RNA, 371 nt
Filed under: uncultured bacterium
Lineage: Bacteria
Description: bacterial SSU rRNA
Rfam family: Bacterial small subunit ribosomal RNA
Source: RNAcentral